RNAcentral lists this transfer RNA (76 nucleotides) under Bacteriovoracaceae bacterium. RNAcentral describes it as "tRNA-Val". It matches the Rfam family "tRNA". Rfam says of the family: Transfer RNA (tRNA) molecules are approximately 80 nucleotides in length. Their secondary structure includes four short double-helical elements and three loops (D, anti-codon, and T loops). Lineage: Bacteria; Pseudomonadati; Bdellovibrionota; Bacteriovoracia; Bacteriovoracales; Bacteriovoracaceae. The record is from RNAcentral.
GGUCAGUUAGCUCAGCUGGGAGAGCGCCUGCUCGACACGCAGGAGGUCACAAGUUCAAUCCUUGUACUGACCACCA